Molecule: ribosomal RNA, 689 nt
Filed under: Globodera rostochiensis
Lineage: Eukaryota; Metazoa; Nematoda; Chromadorea; Rhabditida; Heteroderidae
Description: LSU rRNA
Rfam family: Eukaryotic large subunit ribosomal RNA
Source: RNAcentral
CGAUGAGAUGGAAACGAACAGAGCUGGCGUAUCUGGUCUGCAUUCAUCCGUGUGUUCUUGGGCGUUGGAUUGCACUCUCCAGACUGGGAUGGUGUUCAUUCUGUUCAGGGGCUCAUGGAGCAUUUGCAGGCGGAGUGCGCUGAGAUGCUCGGAGCAGCUGYAUGAGCUUGGCUUUGAGGCCAGCCCUUCGGGGUCUGGUACCCGGGCUGUGGGAGUGCUGUUUGUUCUGGGUGCUGAGUGUGUGCAAUGGCAACGGGUCCGUGUUGGUUUGAGCUGGCGGUCGGUGGCGGUCGCGUGCGACACGUGCCAGCAGUCAGUUCGGUCCUGCUCGGGCUCUCAUUGCAUGUUCUCGGUGUAAAAGCCGGUCAUCUGUCCGACCCGUCUUGAAACACGGACCAAGGAGUUUAGCGUGUGCGCGAGUCAUUGGGAGUUGAAAACCCAAGGGCGUAAUGAAAGUGAAGGUCUCCUUGCGGAGCUGAUGUGUGAUCUCGUGCACCCCGGUGUGCGGGCGCAACAUAGUCCCGUCCCGAUCGCAUGCGAUGGGGCGGAGACAGAGCGUACGCGCUGAGACCCGAAAGAUGGUGAACUAUUCCUGAGCAGGAUGAGCCAGAGGAACCUCUGGUGGAAGUCCGAAGCGAUUCUGACGUGCAAAUCGAUCGUCUGACUUGGGGUAAUAGGGGCGAAAGACU